This 224-nucleotide unclassified non-coding RNA is filed under the name uncultured bacterium. RNAcentral's name for it is "contains 16S-23S intergenic spacer region". The record is from RNAcentral.
UCCGGUUUGUCACCGGCGGUCUCCUUAGAGUUCCCACCAUUACGUGCUGGCAACUAAGGACAAGGGUUGCGCUCGUUGCGGGACUUAACCCAACAUCUCACGACACGAGCUGACGACAGCCAUGCAGCACCUGUGCACGAACUCCGAAGAGGGGCCGAUGUUUCCACCGGCUUUCUCGUGCAUGUCAAGCCCAGGUAAGGUGGGGAUGACGUGUAACCGAAUCU